CGCUAUUAAAUUUUCAAGAAGUAACUCCUCCAUCCGGCUAUACCGAUUUUGUGUUUCCUGUUCUGUUAACUUGUCUUGUUCCGGUUGAGGCGGUGGAUUCUGCGUUGUCUGCCCAUGCUGCUCAUCCACAAUGGGGGCAUAAUGUUUGCUUGAUGGUUGGACAACUCCCACAGUUGAUGAUGUUUGUCAUAACUUACGUGGAGGAGUAGUGGACAUUUCUCAACUUCCAGAGGCUGCUACUGGUUGGAUCCGAGUUGCUGUUAAAGAUAGUAUAAAAUCAGCACAAGCCAAGGUACUUACCAGAACUAGGCUGAGGCGUGCUUGGGGCUGAUCACCCUUCAGAGUAUUUUUGGUGAUCUGGAAAACAUCAAGGUGAAGAGACAGCUCUCUGUUGCCUGACAGAUUUGUCUGUCCUACUUGCGUUCCGGACACCUGUGACAACAGCCUCUGGAAAUAGUUUGUCCCGGACCUCCUUCUCCCAACUGUUAAAACGCA
Molecule: long non-coding RNA, 495 nt
Organism: Bombina bombina (fire-bellied toad)
Lineage: Eukaryota; Metazoa; Chordata; Amphibia; Anura; Bombinatoridae
Exons: 4
Source: RefSeq, a predicted model, not a curated record